GUAUGUCCUGAUAAGGGAAGAAGUUUGAUUCUUGAGACAGAAUCCUCCUUAUGUAACUCAGGCUGGCCUAGAACUCAUGGCUUUCCUUGCCUCUACCUCCCAAGUGCCGAAGUGCUGGGAUUACAGGCUUUAUGUCUCUCGCCAACCCUGCUUCUUUUUGGGUUACCACACUCGGAAGCAGAGGUCAACAGACAAUGUCCUGAGAACAGUCUGCUCACCAUCUGUUUUUGCUUUUUCUAGAUACAGUCUUACUACGUCAUCCUGACUAGCUUAGAAGCUGUUGCAUACACGGGGCUGGCCUCUAACUAACAGAUUUGCCAGCUGAUCCACCACUAUUUUUGUAUAGCUCACAAAUUAUGACAGACUUUUGUGUGGCUGAGGAAGAAAAAAAUCAAAAGAAUAAUAUUUGGGGGUAUUUGAGAAUAAUGAGAUUCAGAUUUCGGAGUCUAUGAGUGAAACUUUGUCAAAAGAUGGCUGCAUUCACUUGCUGUCUAUGGCUGUUUUCAUGGUAAAAAGACGGGUGAAUAGUGUGACCACGAGGCCAAGAAGCAUAAAUUAUUUAUUGUCUAGCCCCUUCCAGAAAGUUUGCCAACAUUUAUUCUCAAGGAUGUCAUUUGCUAUAACAAGAAAACAACCAGGCAGGCAGAGGGUUCACCUCCUAGAAUUACAACAGUGACACAACAAACAGUAAGGACAGUGUGACUAUUAUCACUAGUAAAAAAAUGUCCCACAUCCACACGAUCUAGAAUGUAGAAGAGAAGGACCUUGGCUAGGCAAUGUUUGUACUCCCUCACUGCUCUCCCCUAGACCCUGUCCUAUGGUAGCCUCUGCCAUCACCGUUCCCCUCAUUCAUGAUUCAGAUUUCCCCAUUCCAAACACACACUCCCAGAAGUUCAAACUUACACAUUCACAGCUAUAGAUUCCAUGAGCAGCUGCCUUUCUUUGUUCCUCACCUUAGCUUCUUCCAUCUCUGGCCACAUCCACUGCACAGAAGUUCUUGUUCCUAUAGCUUCACACUCGGCCUGCUUCUCAAUUCACAGAAGCGAGAACGACGGAUGUCUUGACAGCAUUCUAUACUGUGUCAGUCCCUCUCCUAGCUUCCCUUACUUGCUCCAGCAUUCAGGGCUGCAUGACCUGUCUUCUAUCUUGACAGGGUUUCAAGUAGCCUAGCUUGGCCUGGAAUAGUCAAGGAUGACCUUGAAAUUCUGAUCCUCUUUCCUCCCAAGUACUGGAAUCAUAGGACACUGCCAUACCUGGUUUUGUGCAGGGCUGGGGAUCAAACAGAGGGCUUUGUAUAUGAUAGGCAAGCACCAUCCCUACCUGUUUUUUUGAGACAGGGUCUUAUUUUGUUUAUCAAGUAGCCUUGGCUAUCCUGGAACUCUCUUUGUAUACCAGGCUAGCUUUGAAUCCAUAAAGAUCUGCCUGCCUAGUGCUGUGAUUAAAGGUUCUGGUUCUGUCUGCCUUUGUAUCCCCAUUCCUAUUCCCACCUACUCUUAACCUUUGUUGUGGUGACGAUCAUGGAGAGCAAGACUCACAGAAUCCUGAACUGUCCUCCAACCACUGAUGUCCAAUUCUGAAUGUCUGCCAGAGGCGCCCAACGGAUACCCUGAUUAAGUGCACCUCAGCUGAACCCUUCUUUGCUGCUUCUCACCCGUGCUCUCUGCUUCUGGUUUAUCAUCUCUCCCAUGCUGGAAACGUCACUCACUACCCCUUGCUUCUCUCCUUCUCUACUCACACGAACCAGUGCUUGCUUUGCAAAGAAUCUUCUGGUUUCCCUGUCUGCCCUCCAUUUUCCUCUAUAGAGAUUUUUUUUCAUACACACAGUUACCAGAAUAAUAUUCUAAAGCACACGCUUUGCUCAAAACCCUUGAGUGGCAUCCUGUACUUCACCAAAUAAUAUCAGAAUUCAACAAUCUGGUAUUCCAGGCCCUAUAAGACUUUGUGUAAUUCCUUGGGACCAUAUAAAACCUCUAGUACCCAUCUGACAGCCUUCAAAUAUUUGAAGACACAACAUCUAUUUUUUCUCAUUCUUACGUCUUAUUUUCUCUAGGCUAAACAUUCUCAAGACCCCCCAUGAGACAAGAGUUUUGAUUUCCUACUCUCUCAUUCUUUUCCCUCUUUAAACCUACAUAAUAUGAAGUCUUCCAUCUGGAAAUAGCUUUCUGGUUGAUUUAAUUAAAAAGGUCUAAUGGGGUGUGGAGUGUACAGUGGGGAGCACUUUCCUUGCACUGUGAGUCAGGUUCAGGAGCAUAGAGCUGAGCUGCUUUAGGGAAGAUGUGGGGGUGGGGAAGGUGCGAUGGUGUGCAAUUCCUGCCCUACUCUAGGCAGGAAGCUACAGCGACAGAGGAAAAGCGCCCCCUAGAGGUGGGGGAGGCGGGCCUGUUCUCUCAGAGACUUCUGGCCUUCACUGGCCCCCUUUCCAGCCCAUUUCCAUUCUCAUCUCUCAGCAGCAGCCCAAGGCACAGUGAAGACCCUACUGAUGUUGUGACAAGCAGCCUAUUCAUUUCCUUCUCGCAGUCAAGCUCUCUGGGGGAUAAAAGGAACAGCAAAUCCAAACCACUGCCCAGAAUCCACUUUGCAGAAUUCAGAGAAAGACUGCUCGACUGAAGCAAUUAUAUCCUGUUUGGAAGACCUGAGGGGGAACGAGAAGGAUCUUUAGUUUUCACUGAGAAGGAUCUUUAGUUUUCACUGAUGCCGCAGCACUGCACCACUCAGGCACCACUGGACCAGCGCUCAGGGAAGGAAGGCAUAAUGUGCACUUAGUAAGGCUUUAGUUCCUGUCAUAUAGGAGCAACGGCACAAAGCUGUCAGCAUUGAACUGUGACACUGGGCAGAAAGCUCCGAUUGGGAAAUGGGAGAAAGAUGAGGCCAGCAAGAAGGGAGCAUCAAGUCCUAGAAAGACCAGUUUCCUGAGAUGAACAGGAGAUGAUGGGUUGUGCCUGUCCAUCCAGGGCCAGAAGAUGGCCCUACCAUGCAAACGGCUGUACUACUGAGGAAUGGGCAGAAAGCUGCCUAAACUCAGGAUACACAAGCCAAGUGUGUGUGGGGUAGAGGGUGGGGGUAGUUGAGUGCUUAGGGCUGCAGGAGAGUGAAAUUUCCUGAACACAGCUCUCAGUCCCACUCAUUCCUUGAUACUGAUGCCUGGCGCAUAACCACGGCCAAGAUCGCAGGUGUAGGGCAGGGUGGGGGAAGACAGGAUGUAAGAGCAUGUGUGAGUGCACACAUGUAUGUGCUUACUUACCCAAGGAAAGAGGGCACAGAAGGGGAAGGAGAAGAGUGAGGGGAGAGGGGCUGAAGAAACAGUGUUGGCCUUUCCUAGGACUGAAAUCAUAUACAGGAGCCUAACAUGGAGAGAUGGUGGCUGUUCCAAAGACCCUGGUCGCUCAGAAAGCUUGAGAGCAGGCUGUGUCUACCUAUCACAGGUACAGUGGGAGCACCUGUAAGACAGCAGUGCAGGACAGCCGUAGCUGUCAACCUUGCUCAUACCGUCAUCAUUCCUGGGAGAAGGGCUACUCUACCCUCUUCUAGGCAUACUCUGCUGAUCUCCUCCAAAGUCCCAUGCUGUGUGGUUGCUCCUUUUCACCAUCCUGCACACCUGGAUAAAUGCUGGCUUUCUUUCUACCUCUCUCACAUAUACUUGCAUUCAAUCAAUCAGUCAGUCAGUCAGUCAAUCAAUCAAUCAAUCUCACUGCUUCUUCUAAGCUCUGCCACCAUCCAUAUCAUUUCUACUAUGUACAAUGCUGGAGUAUAUGCAAGAGGCUGGUGACAAGAUCCCUAAAUUAUAAAGAGAAUUAUAGGGCCUUGCAGAACCUUCGAGAAUCUGGGAAGCUGCAAGCUAGAUGGUUAUCUAUUUGAUGUAGUAACAAAUAUUAUUGGUGCCCAUAGGUUUGGUCACUAAGAUAAUCAUAUGUGCUGUUUGAAUAUAAAACAAAGCAAAAUAAAAGUGCUUAGUCCUGGAUAGGUAUCUUCCUGGGCUUUGUUUUUCAAUAUUUAUCAACUACCAGGGCAUUCUAUGGCCUCCUAAUGCUUCCCUCUACAUCAGAAGAAGGUGAUUAACUCUCUGAAAUGCUAUUCUAAGGCUAUAUAACCACACGUGUCAGCACUUCCAUCCCAGGCAGCUUUUCUAGGAGGUACCAGUUCCUGAAUGGCAAAGAGGAUGGCUGGCAAGAAAGGGUGGGCCUGAUGAGGCAAAUUCCACAGCGCAACAGCCACAAGAAAAACAAAACCAAGAGACAAGGCAGGAAAUGCCUAAGUAGGAAGUGUGGGUUCCAGUCUUAAUGAAGCCGUGUGACCUUGGCCAAGCAACGUCAUCACCGAGCCUCUGAUAUUGACUUGUUAUGCAGUAACAACAGCUCUUCUUGAAAAGCACCAGAAUAAGCACCCAAGGGAAUGAGUAGGUCUCCAAGGUCUGCUAAGAGUGGACACGACAUUUGUGUUGAGUUUUUCUGGUUGAGAGAAUGGGAGAGAAGCUUGACCCAUCCAGGCACUCUUUCUGCUUUCAUAAGAUGCGAAGAUACUAAAAUUGAAGCAUCAGAACAAACAGAAGCUGAUGAUGGCAAGAGAAGAAAAUGAGGCUGAUGAGAUGAUCUCACGCGGCAGAAGUAGUGUUCAAAUUUCUGGUGGUUUUGGCUGAGAUUUUGCUUUUCUCCCUCCUUUCUCAAAAAUGAGUGUUUGUGCACUUUUUAACAGUAGCAAACAAUCAAGAAUUUAAUUUAUUUGUUUUGCUAUCAUCUUAAGGUUUCUUCUAUUUCCACACUUGCUUUUCACGUAGUUCAGAAUGAAGCAGUCUAAAUCAAGAUUUCAAUAUCAUGCAGCUUCAUUUGCAAAGACUAUGCAAGUAAAUGAAGUAAAUGCCAUUUGUAUUUACAGUAUGAAAAAAACUGCUACUAAUUAUCUUAAAAGUAUAUUUAGGCAGCAAUAGUCUCCCUUUAUCUAUAUGGCAUAACAGCCUGAGUUGUGUGCUGAAUCUCAGUAACUGCCCAUAGUCACUAAGCAGUGUCCAUGCGGAUAAGGUUUGACUGCUGUGGUAUCACAUCAUUGUGUUCAAGUAGCCCUCAUUUACUUAAUAGUGACCCUCAAGUGCAAGAAUAUUGAGGCUGACAACUCAAAAUAUUCCAGAGAUGCUGUGAAGUGCUUCCUUCAGGUGAAAAAGUAAAAAACAAUAGGACAUUGAGAGAAAGGGGAGAGGGGGAGGAUCAAAGAGACUCGAAUCCACAUUCAUACCUGGUUUAUAAAUUAAACUUUAUCAUAAAGAGUUACAUAAAAAAGUGAAUAUGCAUAGAGCUUGGUAUUCUUUUCAGUGUCAUUUAUCCAUGAGGAGUCUUGAAACAUACUUCUUGUGGACAGAGGGAGAGCACUCACUGCAUUUUAGAAUAUUAUCUCACUAAAGGAACCAAGCAGUUUUAGUUGUGUAAAGUAGGUAAACUUGUAUUUUGUACUACCUACAGAUUUAAUAAAGUAUCUGAAAAAAAUGCUAUAGAAUGGCCAUAUACACAAAUGGGUUUCCACGGUCCAAUUAAGGCUCUUUGUCACCAAGAGGACAGAAGGUUGACAUUUUAGGGUUUGGGCUCUACUCUGAAACCAAAUACUUGCCAAUGCCACACGUUCAGAGGUUAAGAAAGGGCACACUAGGCACUAGAGAACUCUCCCAAAUAUCUAACUUCUCCAGGGAUUCCCCUUGGCUUCAUGUCUGGAUGUUCCAGGGCAGCUGGUAGGUUCCAAUUUCACUGUAACACUGCAGCAUUUGAUAUAAUCCCUUAAAGACUCUCAGAGUCUAGUCCUAAUCUCCCACUAAAGUAUCACUCAGAGAAGAUCUGAAUAUAGAUGGAACCUGGUCCAUUUAUAUUUCACAGAUCAACACAGAAGGACCAUGGUGAAUACAGAUUCAGUGUCUACUGUCUCAGCUCGAAUGUCCCCAGCUGUAUAACAUAACUGAAUUAGAAAAAGCCAUAUAGCCAGACUGACUGGACUUCAUUAUACACUUAUUGUUAAUUAACCUCAGCUAGGGCCUUUCUGCUCCUCAACAAAAUGUAUAUGUCACUCAUGAUGACAGUGAGGAAAUGCCACCUCCCCCCCAAGUCACAGGAGUGGCUCUUUGGUGGGAGACAUGAUGACACAGUGUCAACUUUCAAAGAGUGUUUCCAAAGAAAGUAUGCGGGGGAGUUGGGGUCACUUCUAGCUGUUGCAACUAAUGACUUGGUAAGUAGGGAGAGUAAUGCCAAGGCUCACAACAUGACUAGUAAAUCAAUGAGCUCUGCUCUAGAAGCUUGAGAAAACGGGGUGCCUAUGUCAGCAAUAGUAAUACUAGCCUAGAUAUUGAUUGUUCCAUGGACCAGAGAAAGAAGUGGCGAAAGCAGAGGUAUCAUCGGACCCUUUCUAUCAUGCCAUCUAGUCAACUCCGCAGGGCGGAUGGGAACAGCCAAGACAGCAGCCUUCUCCAUCUUCUCAUCUAGGUGAGGAUGGACAGACGAGUGGAAGCAAGGGACAAGUGACCAGGAGCAGAGAACACAAUGGACUGGAUGCUUGCCAACUAGGAAGGAAGGAGAUGGUUGCUGUCAGGGAGAGCUCCACAGAUAACCAGCAGAUACUCUGAGCAGAAGCAUAGCUGAAAACAAGCAUCACCUGAAGAUGAGACUCCAUGUUAUCCAGGGGCUUUCAGAUAGAUUCUCACACAAGCCUGGACCUCUUUUGGGAACCUGAAUCCCAGUCCUGCAAGAUUCUAUUAUUUAUAUCCCUGCUACCUCGUACAAAUGCAGAGUGUCAGGGUUUUGUGUUUCAGGGCCAUCAUGCAUGGCUAUGUAUGGCUGGGCUUUUUUCCUCAGUAAAAUAAGGAUAAAAGUUAAAAUGAAAACAGAUUUCUUACGUGGAUAAAAUUAUUCAUUGUAAAGCAUGUAAAAGCAUUUAUGAACACUGUUUCCCACUAAAUGCUAGGUUGAAAAGACCAUGUGACUAGACAGAGAUGAAGUUGUUAGUAGAUGAACUGAAACUUGAA
Molecule: long non-coding RNA, 6991 nt
Organism: Mesocricetus auratus (golden hamster)
Lineage: Eukaryota; Metazoa; Chordata; Mammalia; Rodentia; Cricetidae
Exons: 4
Source: RefSeq, a predicted model, not a curated record